ACGCGUUGGGAGCUCUCCAUAUGGUCGACCUGCAGGCGGCCGCGAAUUCACUAGUGAUUCGUAUUACCGCGGCUGCUGGCACAGAGUUAGCCGGUGCUUAUUCUGUCGGUAACGUCAAAACAGCAAAGUAUUAAUUUACUGCCCUUCCUCCCAACUUAAAGUGCUUUACAAUCCGAAGACCUUCUUCACACACGCGGCAUGGCUGGAUCAGGCUUUCGCCCAUUGUCCAAUAUUCCCCACUGCUGCCUCCCGUAGGAGUCUGGACCGUGUCUCAGUUCCAGUGUGACUGAUCAUCCUCUCAGACCAGUUACGGAUCGUCGCCUUGGUGAGCCAUUACCCCACCAACUAGCUAAUCCGACCUAGGCUCAUCUGAUAGCGCAAGGCCCGAAGGUCCCCUGCUUUCUCCCGUAGGACGUAUGCGGUAUUAGCGUCCGUUUCCGAACGUUAUCCCCCACUACCAGGCAGAUUCCUAGGCAUUACUCACCCGUCCGCCGCUCUCAAGAGAAGCAAGCUUUCUCUCCGCUCGACUUGCAUGUGUUAGGCC
This 544-nucleotide ribosomal RNA is filed under the name uncultured Gammaproteobacteria bacterium. Its description in RNAcentral is "partial 16S ribosomal RNA". Lineage: Bacteria; Pseudomonadati; Pseudomonadota; Gammaproteobacteria. The record is from RNAcentral.